GACGAACGCUGGCGGCGUGCUUAACACAUGCAAGUCGAACGGAAAGGCUCCAGCUUGCUGGAGUACUCGAUUGGCGAACGGGUGAGUAACACGUGGGUGAUCUGCCCUGCACUUCGGGAUAAGCCUGGGAAACUGGGUCUAAUACCGGAUAGGACCGCACUUUGGUGUGUGUGGUGGAAAGGUUUUUCUGGUUUGGGGUGAGUUCGCGGGCUAUCAGUUUGUUGGUGGGGUAAUGGCCUACCAAGACGUCGACGGGUAGCCGUCCUGAGAGGGUGGACGGUGACAUUGGGACUGAGAUAAGGCCCAGGCUCCUACGGGAGGCAGCAGUGGGGAAUAUUGCACAAUGGGGGAAGCCCUGAUGCAGCGACGCCGCGUGGGGGAUGAAGGCCUUCGGGUUGUAGACUCCUUUCGCUAGGGACGAAGCUUUUUGUGACGGUACCUGGAGAAGAAGCACCGGCUAACUACGUG
Molecule: ribosomal RNA, 468 nt
Filed under: uncultured bacterium
Lineage: Bacteria
Description: partial 16S ribosomal RNA
Rfam family: Bacterial small subunit ribosomal RNA
Source: RNAcentral